Molecule: ribosomal RNA, 406 nt
Filed under: uncultured bacterium
Lineage: Bacteria
Description: partial 16S ribosomal RNA
Rfam family: Bacterial small subunit ribosomal RNA
Source: RNAcentral
ACUGAACGCUGGCUGCAGGCCUAACACAUGCAAGUCGAACGAGUGGCGGACGGGUGAGUAAUGUCUGGGAAACUGCCUGAUGGAGGGGGAUAACUACUGGAAACGGUAGCUAAUACCGCAUACCAUCAGAUGCGCCCAGAUGGGAUUAGCUUGUUGGUGGGGUAACGGCUCACCAAGGCGACGAUCCCUAGCUGGUCUGAGAGGAUGACCGGCCACACUGGAACUGGGACCCGGUCCAGACUCCUACGGGAUGCAUCAGUGGGGAAUGUUGCACAAUGGGCGCAAGCCUGAUACGGCCAUGCCGGGUGUAUGAAGAAGGCCUUCGGGUUGUAAAGUACUUUCAGCGGGGAGGCGUUAACCGCAGAGGGAGCACCGGCUAACUCCGUGCCAGCAGCCGCGGUAAUUC